UGCAAGUACCUGAACUGUGGAAAACACAACCACAGAGAGUCGGGGACUUCUUUUCAGGAGCAGUGUCUGUUCCUGGCUGGUUCCAAGUCCCUGCAGCUCACAGGUGGGCUGCACAACCCAGUGCACAGCUCUGGCCUCUCCUGCUUCACUGACCAUCCUCUUUUAUCAUUUCCUGCCUCCAGGUGGUCAUUUGCCAUUGUACAGCCUUUGCUACUGAGGUCACCUCAGAACCCACCAUUUGCCAUGAGCAUGACUUGACAGUGCCUUAACCCUCGGCCACUUCUCUUUCCUGCCAUAGGACUUCAUGGGGCCGGAAGUGUAAGAUGCGGUGGGGCUCGUCUGCUGUGCACACACAAGCCCCUUGCAAAGGCACAGGAAAUAAUAUGUGGACAACUUUGAACAAUGCAGUGACAAGAGCCUGGACCCGCUGGGUGGAGGGUUCCAUCUCUCUGUACCUAAGAUCUCCCCAGCCUUCAUCAACAGUGUUCAAUCUGCUGCCAUUAAGUCUCUAUCGCAAGUGAUCUCAUCCCUUCUCCCAGUGUCUCUGUAACAGCGUUCUCAACAACCAUUUUAUCGACAAGUUUGAAAGAUACCCUUCCAGAAAAUGGAGUCCAACUCCUCACCUUGGACAUCCCCCCACACACACACAUCCUGCCUCAGUUUCCUACUUCCUUGGUUUUUGGGACUCUCUGUUCCCACACAGAUAGCCCACUCCAAAAUACUGCCUGUCCUCCUCGUGCACUACCUGUGUAGCCAGGUGUUUGCGCACCCCAAUACCCACUCUCACUCCCACUUCUAGCCUGGAGAACCCUGCCUCAGCCAAGCACCCCUACUUAGUGUCAUCCCACCAACAAGCUAGCAAAGGAAAAGCUUUGCUUCUGCUGUGGCCUCUGUUCUUAGAACCUAUAUGAGAUGAUGCUGGCUGGCAUGGUUCAGACCAUCAGGACAUCCUUAGCUCUUAGCUCAAAGGCUCAGCGCAGCAGCUAGGGCAGGGCUGUGCCCUCAACCCCAUGACAGAGAUGAGGAAGCCAAUAACACUAACCUUCUUGAAGUCAGUUAGUGGAUAAAGGGCAGAACCUUCCGGCUUCCCGUUCAUAUUUCAUUCAUUGUUUCACUGGCCUUCCCAGAAGAGCAACAGAACUGAUCAGGUCCACCUCACUGUCCACACAGCACAAGAAAAGAUUGCUUGGGAGUUUUCCUACCAACAUGCUGGGUCUGACAUGCUAUCUGUGGUUGGAAUAGGCUUAGCCUCCACCCCUCCUACCCCCAUGCCCAAAAGCUGCCUGUGGUCUGUGAGUACCUAGGAAAGAACAGGGUUUCUGGAACUCUAGAAAAACUCAGAAGCACAAAGUGUCUCAGAAAAGACUGUCCCCAGAAACAAAUAAAAUAAAACAUAACUUUUUAUAUUUGUCUCAUUGGGAAAGGCAAGUUUUAAUUACUCAGAAAACUAUCAGAGCAGCCCUUUUGCCAAAAUGCUAACAUGCACAUGUUAUGAGGGAUUUUUUUUUUCUUUGUAAGCCAAAUUUCCUCUCUCAUGUUUGGGGACCUCAUGAAAUGGAACACCUACCUUCUUCAAAAGAUACUUUGAAGCCAUAAAAAUGUUCAUAGGCUUUGACUCAGUAAUCCCUUUCUGGGAAGCUAGCCUAAGAAAAUACCCUGAAAUAUGGCAAAAGCCAUAUGCAGAAAAAUAUCUAUCAAGGAGCUACUCAGUUAAAAACUGGACUCAACCCAAAGAUUCAAUGAAGGGAAAGGAGGGCAGUUAAGUCUAAACCUUGAAGAAAUAUUCUGUAGCCAUUAAAGAUGAGGGGUAUACAAUUUAUGAAGGGUCACAGAAAAUGCUUAUGAUAAAAUAUUAGGUGGAAACGCCUGGAAAAAUAUUGAAAUGCACACAAGUUGUAAAAGCAAUAAGGAAAUGUAGAAAACGUAGUUGUCACAACGUCAAAACAGCGGGCUUAUGGAUUUGUACCUUGUUUUCAAUUUUCCUUCUUGUUAUCUUAUCACCACUUUCCCAUAACAGUUGGAAUUUCUUUAAGAAAAAGCAAUGGAUGUUACUAGUUAUUUCUCCAGGAAAAAUACACCAAUAAUAAAGAUUAGACGUCGGGAGGAAAAGCGUCCUGCCCAUCACUCAUUGUCCUUAGAAGACAUCGAUUUUUCAAAUGAGGUCAAUAAAAAAAACGUAUGCAAAAAAGGAAAA
This 2194-nucleotide small RNA is filed under the name Rattus norvegicus (Norway rat). Its description in RNAcentral is "uncharacterized LOC102551073". The record is from RNAcentral. Lineage: Eukaryota; Metazoa; Chordata; Mammalia; Rodentia; Muridae.